Molecule: ribosomal RNA, 1131 nt
Filed under: uncultured bacterium
Lineage: Bacteria
Description: bacterial SSU rRNA
Rfam family: Bacterial small subunit ribosomal RNA
Source: RNAcentral
GCAGGGCGGCUGCUAUACAUGCAGUCGACGCUUCUUUUUCCACCGGAGCUUGCUCCACCGGAAAAAGAAGAGUGGCGAACGGGUGAGUAACACGUGGGUAACCUGCCCAUCAGAAGGGGAUAACACUUGGAAACAGGUGCUAAUACCGUAUAACAAUCAAAACCGCAUGGUUUUGAUUUGAAAGGCGCUUUCGGGUGUCGCUGAUGGAUGGACCCGCGGUGCAUUAGCUAGUUGGUGAGGUAACGGCUCACCAAGGCCACGAUGCAUAGCCGACCUGGGAGGGUGAUCGGCCACAUUGGGACUGAGACACGGCCCAAACUCCUACGGGAGGCAGCAGUAGGGAAUCUUCGGCAAUGGACGAAAGUCUGACCGAGCAACGCCGCGUGAGUGAAGAAGGUUUUCGGAUCGUAAAACUCUGUUGUUAGAGAAGAACAAGGAUGAGAGUAACUGUUCAUCCCUUGACGGUAUCUAACCAGAAAGCCACGGCUAACUACGUGCCAGCAGCCGCGGUAAUACGUAGGUGGCAAGCGUUGUCCGGAUUUAUUGGGCGUAAAGCGAGCGCAGGCGGUUUCUUAAGUCUGAUGUGAAAGCCCCCGGCUCAACCGGGGAGGGUCAUUGGAAACUGGGAGACUUGAGUGCAGAAGAGGAGAGUGGAAUUCCAUGUGUAGCGGUGAAAUGCGUAGAUAUAUGGAGGAACACCAGUGGCGAAGGCGGCUCUCUGGUCUGUAACUGACGCUGAGGCUCGAAAGCGUGGGGAGCAAACAGGAUUAGAUACCCUGGUAGUCCACGCCGUAAACGAUGAGUGCUAAGUGUUGGAGGGUUUCCGCCCUUCAGUGCUGCAGCUAACGCAUUAAGCACUCCGCCUGGGGAGUACGACCGCAAGGUUGAAACUCAAAGGAAUUGACGGGGGCCCGCACAAGCGGUGGAGCAUGUGGUUUAAUUCGAAGCAACGCGAAGAACCUUACCAGGUCUUGACAUCCUUUGACCACUCUAGAGAUAGAGCUUCCCCUUCGGGGCAAGGUGACAGGUGGUGCAUGGGUUGUCGUCAGCUCGUGUCGUGAGAUGUUGGGUUAAGUCCCGCAACGAGCGCCACCCUUAUUUGUUAGUUGCCAUCAUUCAGUUGGGCACUCU